AAUAUGGGACAAUGGGGGUAACCCUGAUCUAGCCAUGCCGCGUGUGUGAAGAAUGACUUCGGUUUGUAAAGCACUUUAAGUAGGGAGGAAGGGCUCUAGGCUAAUACCCUGAAGUAUUGACGUUAGCAACAGUUUAAGUAUCGGCUAACUCUGUGCCAGCAGCCGCUGGAAUACAGAUGGUGCACGAGUUAAUCGGAAUUACUGAGCGUAAAGCACGCGUAGGUGGUUAAGUAAGAUGGGUGUGAAAUCCCCGGGCUUAACCUGGGAACUGCUUUCAUGACUUCUGAACUAGAGUACGAUAGAGAGUAGUUGAAUUUCCUGUGUAGCGGUGAAAUGCGUAAAUAUAGGAAGGAACACCAGUGGCGAAGACGACUACCUGGGCUAAUACUGACACUAAGGUGCGAAAGCGUGGGGAGCAAAC
This 421-nucleotide ribosomal RNA is filed under the name uncultured bacterium. RNAcentral describes it as "partial 16S ribosomal RNA". It matches the Rfam family "Bacterial small subunit ribosomal RNA", at positions 360 to 773 of the family's 1533-position model. The record is from RNAcentral.